RNAcentral lists this ribosomal RNA (254 nucleotides) under uncultured bacterium. RNAcentral describes it as "partial 16S ribosomal RNA". It matches the Rfam family "Bacterial small subunit ribosomal RNA", at positions 524 to 776 of the family's 1533-position model. The record is from RNAcentral.
UACGGGGGGGGCAAGCGUUGUUCGGAAUUAUUGGGCGUAAAGAGCUCGUAGGCGGUGUGUCGCGUCGGCCGUGAAAACCUGCAGCUUAACUGUGGGCUUGCGGUCGAUACGGGCAUCACUGGAGUUCGGCAGGGGAGACUGGAAUUCCUGGUGUAGCGGUGAAAUGCGCAGAUAUCAGGAGGAACACCGGUGGCGAAGGCGGGUCUCUGGGCAACAACUGACGCUGAGGAGCGAAAGCGUGGGGAGCGAACAGG